This 168-nucleotide non-coding RNA is filed under the name uncultured Treponema sp. The record is from RNAcentral. Lineage: Bacteria; Pseudomonadati; Spirochaetota; Spirochaetia; Treponematales; Treponemataceae.
GUGCUGGUCUGCCGAAAGCAAGAACCAGUUAAAAGGGAAGCAGGUUUGAAUCCUGCACGAUCUCGUCACUGUGUUUGGGAAGUCUUUGCCAUGUAUGCCACUGGAUUUUUCUGGGAAGGUUUGGCAAAGGUGAUGAUCCUUCAGUCAGGAAACCUGCCGUUUAUAAUA